Molecule: ribosomal RNA, 669 nt
Filed under: uncultured bacterium
Lineage: Bacteria
Description: bacterial SSU rRNA
Rfam family: Bacterial small subunit ribosomal RNA
Source: RNAcentral
UCAGGAUGAACGCUGGCGGCGUGCUUAACACAUGCAAGUCGAACGGAACUGUCAUUUUUGAAGCAAUUAGCUUGCUAAGGGUGGAAAUGUUGGCAGUUUAGUGGCGGACGGGUGAGUAACGCGUGGGUAACCUGCCUUGCACUGGGGGAUAACACUUAGAAAUAGGUGCUAAUACCGCAUAAGCGCACGGGACCGCAUGGUCUUGUGUGAAAAACUCCGGUGGUGCAAGAUGGACCCGCGUCUGAUUAGCUGGUUGGCGGGGUAACGGCCCACCAAGGCGACGAUCAGUAGCCGGCCUGAGAGGGUGGACGGCCACAUUGGGACUGAGACACGGCCCAAACUCCUACGGGAGGCAGCAGUGGGGAAUAUUGGACAAUGGGGGGAACCCUGAUCCAGCGACGCCGCGUGAGUGAAGAAGUAUUUCGGUAUGUAAAGCUCUAUCAGCAGGGAAGAAAGAAAUGACGGUACCUGACUAAGAAGCCCCGGCUAACUACGUGCCAGCAGCCGCGGUAAUACGUAGGGGGCAAGCGUUAUCCGGAUUUACUGGGUGUAAAGGGAGCGUAAACGGCAAUGCAAGUCUGGAGUGAAAGGCGGGGGCCCAACCCCCGGACUGCUCUGGAAACUGUAUACCUGGAAGUGCAGAAAGGUAAAUGGAAUUCCUAAUGUAGC